AAGAAGCACCGGCUAACUCCGUGCCAGCAGCCGCGGUAAUACGGAGGGUGCGAGCGUUAAUCGGAAUUACUGGGCGUAAAGCGUACGCAGGCGGUCUGUUAAGUCAGAUGUGAAAUCCCCGGGCUCAACCUGGGAACUGCAUUUGAAACUGGCAGGCUAGAGUCUCGUAGAGGGGGGUAGAAUUCCAGGUGUAGCGGUGAAAUGCGUAGAGAUCUGGAGGAAUACCGGUGGCGAAGGCGGCCCCCUGGACGAAAACUGACGCUCAGGUACGAAAGCGUGGGGAGCAAACAGGAUUAGAUACCCUGGUAGUCCACGCUGUAAACGAUGUCGAUUUGAAGGUUGUGGCCUUGAGCCGUGGCUUUCGAAGCUAACGCGUUAAAUCGACCGCCUGGGGAGUACGGCCGCAAGGUUAAAACUCAAAUGAAUUGACGGGGGCCCGCACAAGCGGUGGAGCAUGUGGUUUAAUUCGAUGCAACGCGAAGAACCUUACCCACUCUUGACAUCCAGAGAACUUGGCAGAGAUGC
RNAcentral lists this ribosomal RNA (525 nucleotides) under Enterobacteriaceae bacterium symbiont of Insignorthezia insignis. RNAcentral describes it as "bacterial SSU rRNA". It matches the Rfam family "Bacterial small subunit ribosomal RNA", at positions 485 to 1009 of the family's 1533-position model. The record is from RNAcentral. Lineage: Bacteria; Pseudomonadati; Pseudomonadota; Gammaproteobacteria; Enterobacterales; Enterobacteriaceae.